RNAcentral lists this transfer RNA (76 nucleotides) under Sporolactobacillus laevolacticus. RNAcentral's name for it is "tRNA-Ala". It matches the Rfam family "tRNA". Rfam says of the family: Transfer RNA (tRNA) molecules are approximately 80 nucleotides in length. Their secondary structure includes four short double-helical elements and three loops (D, anti-codon, and T loops). Lineage: Bacteria; Bacillati; Bacillota; Bacilli; Caryophanales; Sporolactobacillaceae. The record is from RNAcentral. RNAcentral also lists the same sequence under 10 other names.
GGGGCCUUAGCUCAGCUGGGAGAGCGCCUGCUUUGCACGCAGGAGGUCAGGGGUUCGAUCCCCCUAGGCUCCACCA